This is a long non-coding RNA of Astyanax mexicanus (Mexican tetra), 3617 nucleotides long. RefSeq lists it as uncharacterized. Lineage: Eukaryota; Metazoa; Chordata; Actinopteri; Characiformes; Acestrorhamphidae. The transcript is spliced from 3 exons. The record is from RefSeq and is a predicted model, not a curated record.
ACUUAAAGCUAAGAUGGCUAGUUAAAUAAAAGCUAGGUUAGCUAGUUAAAUUAAAGCAAGGUUAGAUAGUUGAAUUAAAACUAGGCUAGCUAGUUAAAUUAAAGCUAGGCUAGAUAGUUAAAUUAAAGCUAGGCUGGCUAGUUAAAUUAAAGUUAGGCUAGCUAGUUAAAUUAAAGCUAGGCUAGCUAGUUAACUUAAAGCUAAGAUAGCUAGUUAAAUUAAAGCAAGGUUAGAUAGUUAAAUUAAAACUAGGCUAGCUAGUUAAAUUAAAGCUAGGCUAGAUAGUUAAAUUAAAACUAGGCUAGCAAGCUAGGCUAGCACGUUAAAUUAAAGCUAGGUUGUCUAGUUAAAUUAAAGCUAGGCUAGUUAGUUAAAUUAAAGCUAGGCUAGCUCGUUAAAUUAAAGAUAGGUUAGUUAGUUAAAUUAAAGCUAGGCUAUCUAGUUAAAUUACAGCUAGGUUAGCUAGUUAAAUUGAAGCUAGGAUAGUUAGUUAAAUUAAAGCUAGGCUAGUUAGUUAAAUUAAAGCUAGGCUAGCUAGUUAAAUUAAAGCUAGGUUAGUUAGUUAAAUUAAAGCUAGGCUAGUUAGUUAAAUUAAAGCUAGGCUAGCUAGUUAAAUUAAAGCUAGGUUAGUUAGUUAAAUUAAAGCUAGGCUAUCUAGUUAAAUUACAGCUAGGUUAGCUAGUUAAAUUGAAGCUAGGAUAGUUAGUUAAAUUAAAGCUAGGCUAGUUAGUUAAAUUAAAGCUAGGCUAGCUAGUUAAAUUAAAGCUAGGUUAGUUAGUUAAAUUAAAGCUAGGCUAGUUAGUUAAAUUAAAGCUAGGCUAGCUAGUUAAAUUAAAGCUAGGUUAGUUAGUUAAAUUAAAGCUAGGCUAGCUAGUUAGACACACUAGCUAGGCUAGCUAGCACUAGGCUAGCUUGUUAGACACACUAGCUGAAGACACAUCUUUUCAAAGAGUUCCUAAACUAAUAAUAAAAAAAAUAAAUAAAAAAAGGUUCCUAGGGUUCUUAACAUGAUUAAGCUCUAUGUAUCUCUUGAUCCUAGUCUACAAACUAGCUUUGGAUAUCUUAAGUAACUUUGAAGCACUGUUGUAAGUCGCUCUGGAUAAGGGCGUCUGCUAAAUACCAUAAAUGUAAAUGUAGUUAAAUUAAAGCUAGGUUAGUUAGUUAAAUUAAAGUUAGGCUGGCUAGUUAAAUUAAAGCUAGGCUGGCUAGUUAAAUUAAAGUUAGGCUAGCUAGUUAAAUUAAAGCUAGGCUAGCUAGUUAAAUUAAAGCUAGUCUGGCUAGUUAAAUUAAAGCUAGGCUAGCUAGUUAAAUUAAAGCUAGGUUAGCAAGUUUAAUUAACGCUAGGUUAGCUAGUUAAAUUAAAGCUAGGCUAGCUAGUUAAAUUAAAGCUAGGCUAGCUAGUUAAAUUAAAGCUAGGUUAGCAAGUUUAAUUAACGCUAGGUUAGCUAGUUAAAUUAAAGCUAGGCUGAUUUUGGGCCUAGGUCUGUGUAAUGUAUGUAGCAUUUGGGCAAAAAAACUUAAUGUAGUAACGUAUCAAUCUUUGUUACAUUCAAUUUUUUAUAUGCAAACAUGAAUAUGACCGUUUUAAUUAAGUAAUUGUAGAUCAUGUAAAUGUAAAUGUAUCUUGUUUCUUGGGUCUGUAACUGUGGACCUUUAUUGGCACAUUCAGGAUGUAUUUUUAAAUCAUGGUACGCUUUUGUCUCUUUUGUGAAAUGCUUUACUAAGAAAGACACAACAAACAACAAAUUAUUUCCAAAUAUUCUAAAUUAUUCCUAAAUAUAUAGAAUUAAGAUAUAUCAAAUUAUUCCCAAGAAUACAAGCCGUUUAUUCUGAACUAUAAGAACUAAUACAGCCAUUAUUAAUCAUUUCCACACAACAGACCACUAAUUAAACACUUACACAGAAUAAAGCCUAAUAAGUAGUGAAUAAAUCAUUUAUAAAUGUCUAAUUAUUGCUUUAUUAAGCAAAUAAUAAGACAUUAAUAAGCGCCUAAUUUGUGUUCCUUAAAAUAAAGUGUUACCAAGUAUUUAGAUAAAAGUAUACAUAUUCACAAAGAAUUGAAAUAAGGGCCACAUAAAAAAAUGGUCACAUUUGAACUCCUUAUUAGAUAAAUUAUGCCUAAGCCCACUGUCCCACCUCCGAGUAUUCCAGCCAAAUCAUCUGACAGUUUUAUUGUAAUAGGCUGGCCUUUUAACAGCCAUCCAGAACUCCUAUAAUUGGCCAUAAUUAAGCAUAUAAAGCGCCUCAACUCUGGAAUAAUCUCCCCGAAUAUGUUCGGGACUCAGACACAGUCUCAAUCUUUAAGUCUAGACUGAAAACUUACUUGUUUAGUUUAGCUUUUGGUAAUUAAUGUUUUUCCCUUUAGAUAAGGCUGCAGAUUCAGGGGUUCAUGGACAGAGGGAAUUGUGGGUAAACUGAGAUGCUGGUGCUGUUGUUCUCCCACUGCACACGGUCACUCAAGUUUGUGGACGGUGGAGUGGGUGGAUGCUGGUGUUUCAGGGUGCCUCCAUGUCUAUGUUACCUUCUGGCUCUCUGUCUUUAGUUAGGCUGUUUUAUUCAGUUCUGCCGGAGUCAUUUGCCACACUCUGAUAAUGUUUUAAUAUUCUCAGUUUUGCAUAAAUCCAGUCAAAACUAAUUCCAUCUCUCUGCUUUCCUCCGAGUUACCGACUGCCCACCUGUCUGACCCGAUACCGAUGUUGGACCCUCAGGCUCUCGCGUCUCCUGUCCGGCCAGACUGAUGGAAGUUUCUGAAGUCAGCUCUUCUCCACCACCACCACAGAUCAGCUGCUCAUCGUCCAUCUUAUUCUCCACUACUGAUUACAUACAAGCUAUUAGUGGUGCUAUUACACUCCUGAGUACAUAAAACCUAUAUGGAUGUAUAAAAGACUUUUUAAAUUUCUAUUUAAAAGCCGUUUGACCAGUGGUAGGAUGGUCCCCCCUCAAAUGUGAGUCUUGGUCCUCCCAAGGUUUCUUCCUCCUCCUGCAGCUCUGAGGGAGUUUUUCCUUGCCUCCGCGCUCACUGGGGGUUCUGUAUUCUGUAUUUUCUAUGUGUAAUGUUUUGCCUGAUUCUUUGUCCUGUAAUCAUGUUUCUGUAAAGCUGCUUUGUGCCAACACCUGUUGUAAAAAGCGCUAUACAAAUAAAUUUGAUUUGAUUUGAUAUAAUUGGGUGAGUAUUUCUGAGGCCACUGCAAAUUUCUGUAUCUCAUGAGCUUUGGUUGGGGUGGCUGAAGCAAUAUUUGUAUGCGUUGAAUAAAGCAAUCAAACUGAUGCUAACAAUUUGUUUAGAAAAUCUGUGCUCUAAAUCAUUCAUUUUCUAGAGUUUGAUAACUCUAUUUCAGUUGUUUUAAUGUCUUUUUCACUAUUUCCUGUGUUUUAUCCUCAGAAAGAUCUUUUGUCCUUUUCAUACUACAUAGUAACGUAAAUAAUAAUACGCUUUGUGUGACAAUCUGAAUUUUGUAGGUUUUCUUCCUUUCCGAAUAUACAAACUUGUAUAAGCUUGAUACUACUUAUCCAAAGAGAAGAACGUUGUGCUUAUUUGCCCAAAAUCCUACUGCUACUGUGUGUAACUUCCAUAACAGUUCCGAUCACUGUGUAGAUCAUGAGGAAAUGUCUUAAUA